UCAAGCUACUAAGAGCGUAGAGUGGAUGCCUUGGCACCGAGAGCCGAUGAAGGACGUGAUAAGCUGCGAAAAGCUACGGGGAGUUGCAAAUAAACUUUGAUCCGUAGAUAUCCGAAUGGGGAAACCUGGCAGAGCAAACCUCUGUCAUCCUACAGCCAAUACAUAACUGUAGGAGGGGAACGAAGGGAACUGAAACAUCUAAGUACCUUCAGGAGGAGAAAGAAAAAUCGAUUUCCUAAGUAGCGGCGAGCGAAAGGGAAACAGGCCAAACCAGAUUACUUGUAAUCUGGGGUUGAGGACUGCGACGUGGCAAGAAUGCGGAUAGCUGAAGAGUCUGGAAAGUCUCAUCAAAGAGGGUGAUAAUCCCGUAAGCGAAAUCCAAGUGAAGCCUAGCAGUAUCCAGAGUACCACGAGACACGAGAAACCUUGUGGGAAGCCGGAGGGACCACCCUCCAAGCCUAAAUACUCCUCGGUGACCGAUAGCGCAUAGUACUGUGAAGGAAAGGUGAAAAGAACCCCGGGAGGGGAGUGAAAGAGAACCUGAAACUCUAUGUUUACAAGCAGUGGAAGCGCCAUAUGAUGCGCGACCGCGUACUUUUUGUAGAACGGUCCGGCGAGUUAUUUGUUGUGGCAAGGUUAAGUACCAGGAGGUACGGAGCCGAAGGGAAACCAAGUCUGAAUAGGGCGAAAGAAAAGUCACAAUAAAUAGACCCGAAACCGGGUGACCUACCCAUGGGCAGGAUGAAGUUACCGUAAAAGGUAAUGGAGGUCCGAACUCACAUCUGUUGAAAAAGGUGGAGAUGACCUGUGGGUAGCGGAGAAAUUCCAAUCGAACCCGGAGAUAGCUGGUUCUCCUCGAAAUAGCUUUAGGGCUAGCGUUGAUAGGAGUCUAAUGGAGGUAAAGCACUGAAUUGCCUAGGGGGCCCACAAGCUUACCGAAGCAUAUCAAACUAAGAAUGCCAUCAAGAUACCGUCAGCAGUCAGACUACGAGUGAUAAGACACGUGGUCAAAAGGAAAACAGUCCAGACCAUCAGCUAAGGUCCCAAAGUGUGUGUUAAGUGGAAAAGGAUGUGAGAUUUCGAAGACAACUAGGAUGUUGGCUUAGAAGCAGCCACUCAUUCAAAGAGUGCGUAAUAGCUCACUAGUCGAGAGAUCUUGCGCCGAAAAUGUCCGGGGCUAAAACACACCACCGAAGCUAUGGAAUACAUUCAUAAUGAAUGGAUUGGUAGAGGAGCGUUGUAACAACGCUGAAGCAGUACCGUAAGGAGCUGUGGAGUAAUUACAAGUGAGAAUGCCGGAAUGAGUAGCGAGAUACAAGUGAGAAUCUUGUAGGCCGAAUAUCCAAGGUUUCCAGAGUAAAGCUGAUCUGCUCUGGGUAAGUCGGGACCUAAGGCGAGGACGAAAGUCGUAGUCGAUGGACAACUGGUUCAUAUUCCAGUACUACCUAUUAUCAGAACUGCAGGGACGCAGGAGGAUAGGCAAUCCCAGGAAUGGUAUCCUGGGCCAAGCACAAAGUCGCACCUCUAAGGAAAAACCGAGAGGCGAGGAUGAAGUGUGAUGGGGAUCGAAAUUUAAGUAGAGAAGUUGCUAAAUCCACACUGCCGAGAAAAGCUGCUAUUGCGUGAUAGGUACCCGUACCGUAAACCGACACAGGUGGAUGAGGAGAGAAUCCUAAGGCCGACGGGAGAAGCGUUGUUAAGGAACUCGGCAAAAUGACCCCGUAACUUAGGGAGAAGGGGUGCCUACUUCGGUAGGCCGCAGAGAAUAGGCCCAAGCAACUGUUUAACAAAAACACAGGUCUUUGCUAAACCGAAAGGUGAUGUAUAAGGGCUGACGCCUGCCCGGUGCUGGAAGGUUAAGGGGAGAGGUUAGUCGUAAGGCGAAGCUUUGAACUUAAGCCCCAGUAAACGGCGGCCGUAACUAUAACGGUCCUAAGGUAGCGAAAUUCCUUGUCAGGUAAGUUCUGACCCGCACGAAAGGCGUAAUGAUUUGGGCACUGUCUCGACA
Molecule: ribosomal RNA, 2008 nt
Filed under: metagenome
Description: bacterial LSU rRNA
Rfam family: Bacterial large subunit ribosomal RNA
Source: RNAcentral